GGAGUGGGUUGUACCAGAAGUGGAUAGCUUAACCGCAAGGGGGGCGUUCACCACGGUAUGAUUCAUGACUGGGGUGAAGUCGUAACAAGGUAACCGUAGGGGAACCUGCGGUUGGAUCACCUCCUUACCUUAAAUGAAGUUGCAAGUGUNCACACAG
RNAcentral lists this unclassified non-coding RNA (157 nucleotides) under Muribacter muris. Its description in RNAcentral is "contains 16S-23S intergenic spacer region". The stretch from base 1 to 127 matches the Rfam family "Bacterial small subunit ribosomal RNA", at positions 1407 to 1533 of the family's 1533-position model. The record is from RNAcentral. Lineage: Bacteria; Pseudomonadati; Pseudomonadota; Gammaproteobacteria; Pasteurellales; Pasteurellaceae.